RNAcentral lists this long non-coding RNA (351 nucleotides) under Androctonus crassicauda. Lineage: Eukaryota; Metazoa; Arthropoda; Arachnida; Scorpiones; Buthidae. The record is from RNAcentral.
GUAUUUUUGAAAUUUUAAGAAGAAAAAUUUUCAUAGGACAAUCUAUAAAAUUCUAAAAACUAAAAAUAUUGUAGAUAAUAAGAAAAUACUGAUUUUGUUAAACUAAAAUGUAUUUUAAUCGUUCAUUUUUACCAAUUUCAUCAAAAUUUAGAAAAAAAACAUGCAAAACAAAUGUAAACAUCCUGCAGCCAUUUAAAUGGACAUGGCACUUUUAUUGCUUUACAGCAGCAGCUUGCAUCAGGGAAAUUACAGCCAAGUCUACUUUAUCCUACAGCAAGCAUGUCACUCAUUUUAAUUCAAGGGUCAUUUAAUGAGCUUGUAAGAUUACCAUGGGCCACAUCACAUUUACAA